Molecule: ribosomal RNA, 253 nt
Filed under: uncultured prokaryote
Description: partial 16S ribosomal RNA
Rfam family: Bacterial small subunit ribosomal RNA
Source: RNAcentral
UACGUAGGGUGCGAGCGUUGUCCGGAAUUAUUGGGCGUAAAGAGCUUGUAGGCGGUUUGUCGCGUCUGCUGUGAAAAUCCGGGGCUCAACCCCGGACUUGCAGUGGGUACGGGCAGACUAGAGUGUGGUAGGGGAGACUGGAAUUCCUGGUGUAGCGGUGAAAUGCGUAGAUAUCUGGAGGAACACCGGUGGCGAAGGCGGCAUCCUGGACCGGCAUUGACGCUGAGGCGCGAAAGCCAGGGGAGCAAACGGG